GAUGAACGCUGGCGGCGUGCCUAAUACAUGCAAGUCGAGCGAACGGACGAGAAGCUUGCUUCUCUGAUGUUAGCGGCGGACGGGUGAGUAACACGUGGAUAACCUACCUAUAAGACUGGGAUAACUUCGGGAAACCGGAGCUAAUACCGGAUAAUAUUUUGAACCGCAUGGUUCAAAAGUGAAAGACGGUCUUGCUGUCACUUAUAGAUGGAUCCGCGCUGCAUUAGCUAGUUGGUAAGGUAACGGCUUACCAAGGCAACGAUGCAUAGCCGACCUGAGAGGGUGAUCGGCCACACUGGAAGUGAGACACGGUCCAGACUCCUACGGGAGGCAGCAGUAGGGAAUCUUCCGCAAUGGGCGAAAGCAUGACGGAGCAACGCCGCGUGAGUGAUGAAGGUCUUCGGAUCGUAAAACUCUGUUAUUAGGGAAGAACAUAUGUGUAAGUAACUGUGCACAUCUUGACGGUACCUAAUCAGAAAGCCACGGCUAACUACGUG
RNAcentral lists this ribosomal RNA (497 nucleotides) under uncultured bacterium. RNAcentral describes it as "partial 16S ribosomal RNA". It matches the Rfam family "Bacterial small subunit ribosomal RNA", at positions 28 to 507 of the family's 1533-position model. The record is from RNAcentral.